GACUGCAUUCUCAGCUAAUACAGGUACCAUUCGUUAGUUAUUUCAUUUAUAAUUUUUUACUUACUGUCUCCACAUUGGAGUUGGAAGGAGCACCAAGUGGAUCUUUUUAACCAAAAUAGUGAACAUGGUUUUUUUUUUCUUUUUUUGGUUUUUACUUAACAUUCCACAAGCGGAGAGCUAGAUUAUAUUACUCAAAAAAUGUUUCUUGGACCAUUUCCUUUUACUACCUAAGUUAUCCCUUUCAUUUGGUAUAAUACCUAUCUACCCAUGAACUUUAGUGUGAAGCAUGUGAUGUAUUGCAUUUUUAUUGUAAUUUUUUUCAUUAGUUUUAAUUUUUUUUGGUUUUUUUUAUUGAUUUUUAUUUGUGUUUCUUAGUUCAAUUAAUAGAAAAUUUCUUUUCUUUUCUUUUAAUUUAAUUUGAGUGUUUUUGUGUCAACUUGGAGGUUUAGGCAUUGAAUUGUUGGAAAUUUUGAAGAAUGGAUUAUUACAGCACUUAUUUGUGGCAUUUUAAGCAGUAAAUCUCACAUUUAGGGCGUGAAAGUGCAGGAAAUUCACACCUAGGCCGUG
RNAcentral lists this unclassified non-coding RNA (567 nucleotides) under Hevea brasiliensis (rubber tree). Lineage: Eukaryota; Viridiplantae; Streptophyta; Magnoliopsida; Malpighiales; Euphorbiaceae. The record is from RNAcentral.